Xenia sp. Carnegie-2017 is the source of this 250-nucleotide long non-coding RNA. RefSeq lists it as uncharacterized. NCBI's taxonomy places the organism in Eukaryota, Metazoa, Cnidaria, Anthozoa, Malacalcyonacea, Xeniidae. The record is from RefSeq and is a predicted model, not a curated record. The transcript is spliced from 3 exons.
CUGGAAUCCUUGGAAAAUAUCUCCUGCUAAACCUGACGAUCUUUACACAAUUUGUUUCACAAGUGGUACCACAGGUAAGAUUUAUGUGUAGUUUUACCUUGUGGCAGAUUAAAGUAGGGAGUAAUUAUUUCAGCGUGCUAAACCUGCCGAUGUUUACACAAUUUGUUCCACAAGUGGUACCACGGGCCAACCAAAGGGAGUGAUGUUGAGCAACAAGAACAUGAUAUCCUGCCUCGCUGCAACUUUUAUA